GAUCAUGGCUCAGGAUGAACGCUAGCUACAGGCUUAACACAUGCAAGUCGAGGGGCAGCGGGAAGUCAGCUUGCUGACUUUGCCGGCGACCGGCGCACGGGUGAGUAACACGUAUCCAACCUUCCCGUUACUCUGGAAUAGCCUUUCGAAAGAAAGAUUAAUACCGGAUAGUAUCGAGAGAUUGCAUGAUUACCCGAUUAAAGAUUCAUCGGACGAAGAGGUGGAUGUCU
Molecule: ribosomal RNA, 230 nt
Filed under: uncultured bacterium
Lineage: Bacteria
Description: partial 16S ribosomal RNA
Rfam family: Bacterial small subunit ribosomal RNA
Source: RNAcentral